RNAcentral lists this ribosomal RNA (359 nucleotides) under Ameerega petersi (Peruvian poison frog). RNAcentral describes it as "partial 12S ribosomal RNA". It matches the Rfam family "Bacterial small subunit ribosomal RNA", at positions 702 to 1235 of the family's 1533-position model. Lineage: Eukaryota; Metazoa; Chordata; Amphibia; Anura; Dendrobatidae. The record is from RNAcentral.
GAGAAAACCAUAAACGAGAGAUUCCACAUUUUUCAAAACUAGUACUCGCGACAACUGGAACACAAACUGGGAUUAGAUACCCCACUAUGCCUAGUCGUAAACUUUAACCUACUCCUUCAUCGCCCGGGAACUACGAGCUAAGCUUAAAACCCAAAGGACUUGACGGUACCCCAUAUCCCCCUAGAGGAGCCUGUCCUAUAAUCGAUAACCCCCGUUUAACCUCACCAUUUUUUGCCAAUCAGCCUGUAUACCUCCGUCGUCAGCUUACCACGUGAGCGUCAGUGAGCUUAAUGUUUUUCCAACUAUACGUCAGGUCAAGGUGCAACAUAUAAAAUGGGAAGAGAUGGGCUACACUUUCU